Molecule: long non-coding RNA, 1262 nt
Organism: Mizuhopecten yessoensis (Yesso scallop)
Lineage: Eukaryota; Metazoa; Mollusca; Bivalvia; Pectinida; Pectinidae
Exons: 3
Source: RefSeq, a predicted model, not a curated record
CUUUGCUAUAUUUCUGGGACGAGAUGGUGAUCAGGAUUAUCAGGGUCUGGUGAAAAUACCGGACAAAGGCGAACCGGCAUUGAGCAUCUAUACCUCAACCAUCGUUAUCCCAGCCGUGCCAUGGGUGAAUAAAGAUGCAGUUCUUCAGAUAAUCUACAAGACGAUGAACUCAGACGCGCCUCCGGCAUUUUACCAGUGCGCAGACGUUAGGAUUUUGCCCAAAAAUUGAGGAAACGAAUCUCCAUACUACACAUAGUGAAAUGUGUGUCCUUAAUAACACAUAUACAAUAGCUAAUUAAGUAAUGAGUUUAAGGAUAUAUGCUACCUUACUGUAAAUUGUAAACAAGAGUUCCAAGCUUAGAUAAACUAUAAAUGAUAUUUUAUAAAUAAAAUCAAGUGAUCUUGAUCAAUUUUUGGAUGGUAAAUUUAAAAUAACAUAAGAAUAAAUUAAACAUUAAUGAUUCCCAGCCUAUUCUGUACUAAAGUAAGUGUAAGGUAGCAUAUAUUCAAAGAACAUUGCCCCAUGUUUUUCAUACGGGUAUUUUUGAAGGUGUAUGUUGUAAUACCAGUGUGAAUGUGACAUUGUUUAUAUGACAAAUUGUAUGCUUCAUAUCUAAUAGAUAUUUAUUUCUAAGAUGAUGAUUGAACAGUUUUUUUCAGAUAACAUGCAUUUGUAUUUGUGUUUCUAGAAUUGACUAGAUAAUACUUCACUGGUAUUGAAAAUUAUUGGUGAUGAAAAUGUUUUUUUAACUUUUUACUGACUAUCAGUAUUCAUAAUCACAGUAUGAAACAAUAUACUUAAGAUUAUAAGAUGUUUGAACCAGAUUCUUGAUUCACCUAAAAAUGGACGUAUAUAUUGCUGUUUGUGCGUCAAGUUCAUUGACGGUCUAGUAAUUCACCUGAAAUUUGAAAUUUUGCCCCAUGUUUUUAUCAGAAAAAGAAUCUUUGGCCAACGUGAACGUUUCAAUUAAAUGUAAAAAAAAAAUAAGCAUAUACUAGUGUAUAUACACACAGUAUUGCAUUAAAUCCGUGCAUUCGUACACCGAUAACAAUGAAUGGAACAUGCAGGUAAAUUUCCAUUCCUGAUACAGAGUCGUCCACAUUCCAGGCACGUUUGACUUGGCGAGAAUGUCUUAUUUGUUCAUACCAUAUUUUUUUUGAAUAUUGAUUCUUCAUGUAGUUAAAUCCAGGAAAUGCUAUAUUUUAAUACACCAUAUUUAUUUGAUGAGGUUCUCUUUUUUAAUAAAUAUCUAUUUUGCAUA